RNAcentral lists this ribosomal RNA (484 nucleotides) under uncultured bacterium. RNAcentral's name for it is "partial 16S ribosomal RNA". It matches the Rfam family "Bacterial small subunit ribosomal RNA", at positions 29 to 507 of the family's 1533-position model. The record is from RNAcentral.
AUUGAACGCUCGCGGCAUGCUUUACACAUGCAAGUCGAACGGCAGCGCGGGCUUCGGCCUGGCGGCGAGUGGCGAACGGGUGAGUAAUGCAUCGGAACGUGCCCAGUAGUGGGGGAUAGCCCGGCGAAAGCCGGAUUAAUACCGCAUACGACCUGAGGGUGAAAGCGGGGGACCGAAAGGCCUCGCGCUAUUGGAGCGGCCGAUGUCGGAUUAGCUAGUUGGUGGGGUAAAGGCUUACCAAGGCGACGAUCCGUAGCUGGUCUGAGAGGACGACCAGCCACACUGGGACUGAGACACAGCCCAGACUCCUACGGGAGGCAGCAGUGGGGAAUUUUGGACAAUGGGGGCAACCCUGAUCCAGCCAUGCCGCGUGCGGGAAGAAGGCCUUCGGGUUGUAAACCGCUUUUGUUCGGGAAGAAAUCCUCUGGGCUAAUACCCCGGGGGGAUGACGGUACCGGAAGAAUAAGCACCGGCUAACUACGUG